GAGGUAGAGGCGCGACAUUCAUCAGUAUCCGUCGAGUUGUGGGCAAUUGCCGUCGGAGAAAGGGUCUGCCGCCGAAGCGAUAUGUUCCGCCCGGGAUAUGUCGGCUGGGCCGUCGGGGAAUACCCGCCGGACUGUCACAAUGAACUUGUGAAGCGCUAUCGU
Molecule: non-coding RNA, 162 nt
Filed under: human gut metagenome
Description: Lysine riboswitch
Rfam family: Lysine riboswitch aptamer
About the family: Riboswitches are metabolite binding domains within certain messenger RNAs that serve as precision sensors for their corresponding targets. Allosteric rearrangement of mRNA structure is mediated by ligand binding, and this results in modulation of gene expression. This family includes riboswitches that sense lysine in a number of genes involved in lysine metabolism, including lysC.
Source: RNAcentral